GGCCGGUUGGCCCAAUGGCAAGGCGUCUGACUACGAUUCAAUCAGUUAUCAGGAGAUUCUGGGUUCGACCCCCAGGCUGGUCA
Molecule: non-coding RNA, 83 nt
Organism: Colletotrichum fioriniae
Lineage: Eukaryota; Fungi; Ascomycota; Sordariomycetes; Glomerellales; Glomerellaceae
Source: the annotation of a RefSeq genome assembly